This 53-nucleotide ribosomal RNA is filed under the name Symbiodinium sp. clade B. RNAcentral's name for it is "partial 28S ribosomal RNA". Lineage: Eukaryota; Dinophyceae; Suessiales; Symbiodiniaceae. The record is from RNAcentral.
CUUAGCAUGAAGUCAGACAAGAGAAACCCGCUGAAUUUAAGCAUAUAAGUAAG